GCCCAGGUGGUGAAACUGGUAGACACGCUAGAUUCAGGUUCUAGUGUUGGGAACAACAUGGAGGUUCGAGUCCUCUCCUGGGCA
This 84-nucleotide transfer RNA is filed under the name Myxococcales bacterium. RNAcentral's name for it is "tRNA-Leu". It matches the Rfam family "tRNA". Rfam says of the family: Transfer RNA (tRNA) molecules are approximately 80 nucleotides in length. The record is from RNAcentral. Lineage: Bacteria; Pseudomonadati; Myxococcota; Myxococcia; Myxococcales.